CCUGAAGUAGGCCUAAAGCAAAUCUUGGGGUACCAGACCUUCAGUAGUAUUAAAUGCCAAGGAUUUCAUAGCCAAGUUCAUGUCCAGGUGUUUCAGAGUUCCCUAAGGACCUCAAGGAUCCCGGGCUCACACCCAGACCUUUCUCAAAUAAAGUCUGAUUUGUGUGUAGUGUGGAAGAGCCAUCCCUGAUAUGCCAGAGUUCUGAGUCAUCUCAAGGACCUCUAAGCAGUACACUUACCAAAGGGUCCAAACUUAAUAACCUAAGAAUAAGUGAGAGUGUUUGAUAUGAUUUGAAAAGCUUUUGGUAAACAAUAUACAUAUGAAUCAUAGGAGUGAAAAGAUUUUUUGAAAACCAGAACAAGUUGGGGGGGGGGGGUAAAACAACUUGAGAAAGUAUGAAAGUAUCUUGAAAUAAGAACACAAAUAACAGAAUAACCAGAGUCAGAAACACUUGGAAAACAGAUUCCACAUAGGGAGAGAGGAGUUGGGACACAUAGAAUACACCUUAGUGUCUAACAGAUGCACAAAAUUCUCAAGAGUUUGUAGAAUUAGUAAGUUAGUCGCAAGGGUAGAUGAUUGAGACAUGGAGUAAAGAUCACAUCAGAAACAUGUUGAGAACACAUAAACAACACAACUAGAGUUACCCUAGAGAGACUAGAUAACUUAGCAUGAGCAAAGAAAAACAUGCAAUAACUUAAAUGGGCAAGCUAAUGCUAAUCACACACUUAACAAAACAAGGUUUAGGAAUGUUAGAUAAAAAGUAGACAGGCAACCAUUCUAAUCACAUAUUGAAGAAGACAGUGUUAGGCAUGCUAAUCAAGAUAGUAAAUAGGCAAGUAAAGUUGAGACAUGUUAACCACAUGUUGAGCAAGGCAAUAUUAUGCAUGCUGGAUAAACAGUAAACAGGAGCAGAAAUGAACUCAUGAUUGAUGAACUAAGGCAAUAAUGAAACACAUAGGGUUUAGGUUAUAAAAUAUAAGAGGCAUACCAGUUAGGGAAAGAGAACACAAGAUGCAAGACAUGUGUUAUGCAAUUUCUAGCCUUGGGUUACAGCCGGCAAAACUAAUGAAGAUCACAAGCAGCAGGAAGAAUAGAGAGUUUGUUUUUAGAGUGUGAGAGUAAUAGUGAACUAAUGCUCGUGUCUUGAACUAAGUGUAGAGGAGCGUAUGUAUAGCAGUUUAGGAGCGGAGCAGAAUAAGGUUAAAGGAAUCAAAACUCAGCAAUUAGGGUAAUUACAAAAUCAAUCACACACAAAAUUAACGUAUUCUUCCUUCAAUUAAGGAGAACUACUCAACGGUUAAAGGACAUGAGUAUCUUAAGGAAGGAAAAUUAGACCUAAGUAAAGAGGUAAACAAAUAAAAGUUUAAUUAAGGAAAUAAUCGUGAAGAAUCAGAUACAUUAUAGGCAAUAAGGUAAUAAGAAUAAUUAGAGUCGUAAAUAAGAAAAUAAAUCAAGAAUUAGCACAUAAUUUGAACCAAUAAAAUCAAUAAAUCAAAAUCCAAAAUAGAAUUGAUUUAAAGAGAGGGAAAAAUAUCAGUUUCGACAAAUAAAACUUCAUAAACACACAUAAAUUAGCCAAGAGAUCGACUCAGAAACCCUAGCAGAGAUGAACUAGGGUAAAAAUCACAAGAUAUUGAAUUAGACUAAGGAAAAUCGUGAAAGCCAAAGCACAGAGCAUAACAAUAUAAUCAGUGACACGGAAGAACCCAGGAAUGAAGCAAAAUUACAAGAAAAUUUGCUUUAGCAUAAAUCGAUUAAGGUCCAAAUCAUAUUAACAUGAGUCAGUCAGUAACACUUAAGAACAACGAUUAAACACUUGAAAAUCAGAAAGGCUUUGAAAAAGUGAGUUCGGUAAACCCUAGUUUUAGGAAAAACGGAGAAUCGACUAAAAACCCCUUAAGGACUUCGUGAAAACAUGUGAAAUAUGUUAGAUUCAUCUCAGCUGUGGACAAAUCUAAGAAGAUCAAAGGAUAAACUUAGGGUUUUUAGGAAGGCAACAGAGACGAGCAUAGACAUAGAAAACCAUGGAUAAAAUGAGAAAGAUCUUACUCAAAGUCAAGUCAAAUGACCUGAAAUAGGCAAGAAACCCCAAGGUGUAAACAGAGCGAUGGGCCCCUUCAAGGAUCCAAGAAAUGGAGAUACCAUGGCAAGAAAGAGGUCGAUAUAGGCCUGAGAUAAUAGAGAAACAUCGUAGAACACAGGGCUAAGCUGGUGACAUUGCUUGGAGAUUAGGAUUUAGGUAGAGAGAAUUUAAGAGAGGAGGGGAACAGAUGAUGGAAG
RNAcentral lists this long non-coding RNA (2280 nucleotides) under Nicotiana benthamiana. RNAcentral describes it as "long non-coding RNA (NBEN_LNC032356)". Lineage: Eukaryota; Viridiplantae; Streptophyta; Magnoliopsida; Solanales; Solanaceae. The record is from RNAcentral.